CAGAGCCGCGGGAAUACAGAGGGUGCGAGCGUUAAUCGGAUUUACUGGGCGUAAAGCGUGUGUAGGUUGUUGUUCAAGUCAGUUGUGAAAUCCCUGGGCUCAACCUGGGAACUGCUUCUGAGACUGAACGACUAGAGUACGGUAGAGGGUGGUGGAAUUUCCGGUGUAGCGGUGAAAUGCGUAGAUAUCGGAAGGAACAUCAAUGGCGAAGGCAGCCACCUGGGCCUGUACUGACACUGAGACACGAAAGCGUGGGGAGCAAACAGGAUUAGAUACCCCAGUAGUCCCUGUCUCUUAUACA
Molecule: ribosomal RNA, 301 nt
Filed under: uncultured bacterium
Lineage: Bacteria
Description: partial 16S ribosomal RNA
Rfam family: Bacterial small subunit ribosomal RNA
Source: RNAcentral